This is a small nucleolar RNA of Rhinolophus ferrumequinum (greater horseshoe bat), 65 nucleotides long. Its record names the gene SNORD42. It matches the Rfam family "Small nucleolar RNA SNORD42". From Rfam's summary of the family: snoRNA U42 is found in intron 3 of the ribosomal protein L23a (RPL23a) gene in humans and is also present in mice. The record is from Ensembl. Lineage: Eukaryota; Metazoa; Chordata; Mammalia; Chiroptera; Rhinolophidae.
GAGCAAAUAAUGGAAAAAUCACGUUUAGGAAAAAAGUGACAUAAAUAAAGGAACCACUGAAGCAC